UGAUGUGUGGCGCAAAUAGGUAGCGCGUUCGGCCGUUAACCGAAUGGUUUGCGGGUUCAAGUCCCGCCGCAUCAG
This 75-nucleotide transfer RNA is filed under the name Monoglobus pectinilyticus. RNAcentral describes it as "tRNA-Asn". It matches the Rfam family "tRNA". Rfam says of the family: Transfer RNA (tRNA) molecules are approximately 80 nucleotides in length. Their secondary structure includes four short double-helical elements and three loops (D, anti-codon, and T loops). The record is from RNAcentral. RNAcentral also lists the same sequence under 1 other name. Lineage: Bacteria; Bacillati; Bacillota; Clostridia; Monoglobales; Monoglobaceae.